Long non-coding RNA from Hordeum vulgare subsp. vulgare (domesticated barley), 313 nucleotides. RefSeq lists it as uncharacterized. The record is from RefSeq and is a predicted model, not a curated record. The transcript is spliced from 3 exons. Lineage: Eukaryota; Viridiplantae; Streptophyta; Magnoliopsida; Poales; Poaceae.
GUACAUUUUUUAGCCUUGUCGAGUCCUCCCUGUUUAUGCAAAGUUCACACAUGGGGAUCUUUUGUGGCAUCUUCUUACUGCACAUCAUACAUAAAUCUGAUAUUCUUAUGCUUGUUCUGGUUGGUUUCGAGAUAUUGGUCAUCAUUCACCAAAACUUGCUGGUGUACUUGUUAAGCUGUGAGGAUCAUAAUGUGGGAAUAACUGAUAUUUUGCUGAUUUGCUAUUGAAACUAAGGAACUUUUUACAAGAAUACCUUUCUUACCAUGUCAGUGCUUGCGUCGAGCAGAUUGAGAUCUCGGGCUUUCACUAAAUG